UCGACAGUAGAGCGGGCGUUUCAGUGCGGAUGGGCUAGGCCCAUACUGUCCUCGGGCCGAGGAAAGCAAUCCCAUCCACCCAAACCAGCUAGGGUCGGGGCUGCUCCAAGUCGGCUGCCGCGGCAUGUCAGCCCACGCGCCGGCGAUCGAUGAGGGUCUCCUCCACAGGUACUCUCAUGAGUGCGGCGAUGGUGGCGGCGGCAUGGACAAUACCGUACGAGGAGUGAGAGACCCGGCAGAUGUCGUGGAGUGGAAAGCCAAGUACGAGAAGACCUACAAAGACGUCGGCGAGGAGGGGUGCCGGUACUUUUUUACUUUUGGUAUAUAGGUUUGCCGGUGCAUUGUCACGGAACUAAGGGCCUCAUCUUUUCGCUUAUACUUAUGCUUAUCAAUCAAAUUUUGAAUUUUCAACUUUGAAUUUGAAGCUCAUUUUGAGGGUUUUUUCAUCGAAAUUUAUUUUUCAGCCUUUGCAUUUAGAUCAUUAAGAACACCUAUAUAAAAGUUUUAUUCACAAAAUACUAUUCGUUUGUAAAUAUGACGUAUCGCUUAUUCCACGAAUAAGCGAAAAGGUGGGUCUCUGAAACAAAGUAGAGAGAGUCUGGAGGUAGCGCCAUCCCUGGAGAUGAAGCAAACAUGUGGGUACUCACUUGUGUUUUUUGCCGGAGAAUUUUACAACAAAUAAAAAUGUUGCUAAUGUAAUAUGGUAAAUUUUAGAUGAGAAUGUAAUCAUUUCCAACCUAUGAUAAAGAAAGAUUGUCUUCUCAUGUGUGUGUGUUUUCGGCUAUUUUGCUUUGUCCAAUUGGUCAAACGUCCCGUUACCGGGAAAAAUAUGUUGCGUACCAUAUAUGUACCGUUCGAUUGGAAAAUAGACGUCUGAGAUUCGUUCACGUCACCAUGAGUAAAAAUUAGAGGCCCUAAAAAUUAAGGACCAAAAACUAGGGAGUAGAAAUUGAAAAGAUGAAGUAAAUAACACAAUCAGCUGCUAAAAUAGAUUACAACGAGCUGAGCACGUAACGUAGCUGAUCCAUUCAGAUCGACCUCCAUUACGAGUUUCAGAAUAAGAUGACUGGUACCGUGUGUUUCUCCCAUUGUUUCACACUUUUAUAUCCCUGCAAUUAGAACAGGUCGAUUGCAGUCACAGGGAAUUUGAUCUGCAAGACAAAAGGAAAGGAUGUAUUGGUACUUCACUACUUGAAAUCGUCCCAAUUAGGAUUGUCUCUGAAGAUCAACAAUGCAGCAGCAAAGCCAUCUCCGCAACUGCCUUCGGUAAGUUCUUUGGGCCAAGCAUCACAGGUCAGCUUAUUCCUAC
Oryza sativa Japonica Group (Japanese rice) is the source of this 1309-nucleotide non-coding RNA. NCBI's taxonomy places the organism in Eukaryota, Viridiplantae, Streptophyta, Magnoliopsida, Poales, Poaceae. The record is from RefSeq and is a predicted model, not a curated record.